GGCGGGGUAGCUCAGUUGGUUAGAGCGUUGGACUCAUAAGCCAAAGGUCGGUGGUUCGAUCCCACUCCCCGCUACCA
This 77-nucleotide transfer RNA is filed under the name bacterium. RNAcentral describes it as "tRNA-Met". It matches the Rfam family "tRNA". Rfam says of the family: Transfer RNA (tRNA) molecules are approximately 80 nucleotides in length. Their secondary structure includes four short double-helical elements and three loops (D, anti-codon, and T loops). The record is from RNAcentral.